This 610-nucleotide ribosomal RNA is filed under the name uncultured bacterium. Its description in RNAcentral is "bacterial SSU rRNA". It matches the Rfam family "Bacterial small subunit ribosomal RNA", at positions 202 to 809 of the family's 1533-position model. The record is from RNAcentral.
UAAAGGAAGCGAUUCCGGCUACGGAUGGUCAUGCGUCGCAUUAGCUAGUUGGCGGGGUAACGGCCCACCAAGGCGACGAUGCGUAGGGGUUCUGAGAGGAAGGUCCCCCACACUGGUACUGAGACACGGACCAGACUCCUACGGGAGGCAGCAGUGAGGAAUAUUGGUCAAUGGCCGCAGGGCUAAACCAGCCAAGUCGCGUGAGGGAUGACGGUCCUAUGGAUUGUAAACCUCUUUUGUCAGGGAGCAAAGGGCGCCACGUGUGGCGCUUUGCGAGUACCUGAAGAAAAAGCAUCGGCUAACUCCGUGCCAGCAGCCGCGGUAAUACGGAGGAUGCGAGCGUUAUCCGGAUUUAUUGGGUUUAAAGGGUGCGCAGGCGGAAUGUCAAGUCAGCGGUAAAAUUUCGGGGCUCAACCCCGUCGUGCCGUUGAAACUGGCGUUCUUGAGUGAGCGAGAAGUAUGCGGAAUGCGUGGUGUAGCGGUGAAAUGCAUAGAUAUCACGCAGAACUCCGAUUGCGAAGGCAGCAUACCGGCGCUCAACUGACGCUCAUGCACGAAAGCGUGGGUAUCGAACAGGAUUAGAUACCCUGGUAGUCCACGCAGUAAACGA